Molecule: ribosomal RNA, 526 nt
Filed under: uncultured bacterium
Lineage: Bacteria
Description: bacterial SSU rRNA
Rfam family: Bacterial small subunit ribosomal RNA
Source: RNAcentral
UGCGUAGGGGUUCUGAGAGGAAGGUCCCCCACAUUGGAACUGAGACACGGUCCAAACUCCUACGGGAGGCAGCAGUGAGGAAUAUUGGUCAAUGGCCGGAAGGCUGAACCAGCCAAGUCGCGUGAGGGAAUAAGGCCCUACGGGUCGUAAACCUCUUUUGUCAGGGAGCAAGGCCGCCCACGUGUGGACGGAAGGAGAGUACCUGGAGAAAAAGCAUCGGCUAACUCCGUGCCAGCAGCCGCGGUAAUACGGAGGAUGCGAGCGUUAUCCGGAUUUAUUGGGUUUAAAGGGUGCGUAGGCGGCCUGCCAAGUCAGCGGUAAAAUUGCGGGGCUCAACCCCGUACAGCCGUUGAAACUGCCGGGCUCGAGUGGGCGAGAAGUAUGCGGAAUGCGUGGUGUAGCGGUGAAAUGCAUAGAUAUCACGCAGAACCCCGAUUGCGAAGGCAGCAUACCGGCGCCCUACUGACGCUGAGGCACGAAAGUGCGGGGAUCAAACAGGAUUAGAUACCCUGGUAGUCCGCACAGU